Electrophorus electricus (electric eel) is the source of this 1062-nucleotide long non-coding RNA. RefSeq lists it as uncharacterized. The record is from RefSeq and is a predicted model, not a curated record. NCBI's taxonomy places the organism in Eukaryota, Metazoa, Chordata, Actinopteri, Gymnotiformes, Gymnotidae.
GGGAAGAAAACGCUGGUCGGAUGGACGGACGCGACAUCGCGGUCAAUAAACCGGUCCCGGUGUGAGGAUGACACGCAACCUGUUGUAGGUGUCUAGGGCUACAUAAGCAAAAAAAAGAAGAAGAAGAAGAAGAAGAAGAAGCUAGAACUUUGACAUCAAGACUCUGUCUGGGCUCCGGGAUUAGCAAGUGUGGAAGGCAGACGUGUGGACUCUACCGACUGGCUGUGUACUGUAACAUACCUGCACAAUUGAUGUGUGACACUGUUCAUCGUUCUCAAAAUUUCACAUCGCUUCGGCAGGACUUGCGGCAGACGUGCAGGGGGUUGGUUUCUCUCUUUGGUUAUCUAGCUGUAUGAGUAUAAAUGCAUGUCAUAAAGCUAGAUAACCGAAAGUAGAAAUGAUCCUCGCCUUCUUCCUGAAACAGACGCCGCUGAAUAGCCGACUGGACUCUUCAGCGUCCACUCCCCGUCCAUAACACGGCGUAAUGGAGGAGCAUGGCGGGAGCAUGGGCGGAUACUGUGGGAGAGACAGGACGCCCAGAGUGGGAACAUCCUCCAUUUUCUGGAAAACACCGUGCCAUCUGUGGCCCUCCGGGGAACAGGGGAAGCCGUGCCCAUGCCACCGGCGACAAAGCCCGGUCAGCCCCGGUCAGCCCCGGUCAGCCCCUGGAGCCCAGCCGCACAGAGGGAGGCUGGCCUGGAGGCCAUCUUGAGGGAGAUCUCACUGAAAUAGCUAAGAUGGCUGGACUGGCACAGGAGGACACAGCUCCGGCACUGACAGCCAAAGCGACUGGAUGUCCUAUGGAGCACAACCCAGCUGUUCAGAGUCUGUAUUACUGAAGAGAAUAAGCACAUAGAACACUUCAACUGAGAAUUGGUCUACAUUUUUGUUCAGAUGUAAAACAUUUUAGUGAACUUUAACUGACGUGCUGAAUGUGGUCUUUAUUGUUGUUUUACUUCGCUUUCUGGUUCAACUUUAAAUGUUCGCCCAACUAAGCUAAAGUAUCAUGAAUAUUUUGUAUUUAUUGUCAUCAUUGUGAUAUAACUUCUGCAAAUAAAAACU